AUUGAACGCUGGCGGCAGGCCUAACACAUGCAAGUCGAACGAAUGGCGGACGGGUUAGUAAUGUCUGGGACCCUGCCUGAUGGAUGGGUAUCACUACUGGAAACGGUAGCCAAUACCGCAUACCAUCAGCUGUGCCCAGAUGGGAUUAGCUUGUUGGUGGGGUACCGGCUCACCAAGGCGACGAUCCCUAGCUGGUCUGAGAGGAUGACCAGCCACACUGGAACUGAGACACGGUCCAGACUCCUACGGGAGGCAGCAGUGGGGAAUAUUGCACAAUGGGGGAAAGCCUGAUGCAGCCAUGCCGCGUGUAUGAAGAAGGCCUUCGGGUUGUAAAGUACUUUCAGCGGGGAGGCGGUACCCGCAGAAGAAGCACCGGCUAACUCCGUGCCAGCAGCCGCGGUAAUUC
RNAcentral lists this ribosomal RNA (406 nucleotides) under uncultured bacterium. RNAcentral describes it as "partial 16S ribosomal RNA". It matches the Rfam family "Bacterial small subunit ribosomal RNA", at positions 30 to 526 of the family's 1533-position model. The record is from RNAcentral.